This 2931-nucleotide ribosomal RNA is filed under the name Escherichia coli. RNAcentral describes it as "23S ribosomal RNA". It matches the Rfam family "Bacterial large subunit ribosomal RNA". The record is from RNAcentral. Lineage: Bacteria; Pseudomonadati; Pseudomonadota; Gammaproteobacteria; Enterobacterales; Enterobacteriaceae.
GGGUUGUGAGGUUAAGCGACUAAGCGUACACGGUGGAUGCCCUGGCAGUCAGAGGCGAUGAAGGACGUGCUAAUCUGCGAUAAGCGUCGGUAAGGUGAUAUGAACCGUUAUAACCGGCGAUUUCCGAAUGGGGAAACCCAGUGUGAUUCGUCACACUAUCAUUAACUGAAUCCAUAGGUUAAUGAGGCGAACCGGGGGAACUGAAACAUCUAAGUACCCCGAGGAAAAGAAAUCAACCGAGAUUCCCCCAGUAGCGGCGAGCGAACGGGGAGCAGCCCAGAGCCUGAAUCAGUGUGUGUGUUAGUGGAAGCGUCUGGAAAGGCGCGCGAUACAGGGUGACAGCCCCGUACACAAAAAUGCACAUGCUGUGAGCUCGAUGAGUAGGGCGGGACACGUGGUAUCCUGUCUGAAUAUGGGGGGACCAUCCUCCAAGGCUAAAUACUCCUGACUGACCGAUAGUGAACCAGUACCGUGAGGGAAAGGCGAAAAGAACCCCGGCGAGGGGAGUGAAAAAGAACCUGAAACCGUGUACGUACAAGCAGUGGGAGCACGCUUAGGCGUGUGACUGCGUACCUUUUGUAUAAUGGGUCAGCGACUUAUAUUCUGUAGCAAGGUUAACCGAAUAGGGGAGCCGAAGGGAAACCGAGUCUUAACUGGGCGUUAAGUUGCAGGGUAUAGACCCGAAACCCGGUGAUCUAGCCAUGGGCAGGUUGAAGGUUGGGUAACACUAACUGGAGGACCGAACCGACUAAUGUUGAAAAAUUAGCGGAUGACUUGUGGCUGGGGGUGAAAGGCCAAUCAAACCGGGAGAUAGCUGGUUCUCCCCGAAAGCUAUUUAGGUAGCGCCUCGUGAAUUCAUCUCCGGGGGUAGAGCACUGUUUCGGCAAGGGGGUCAUCCCGACUUACCAACCCGAUGCAAACUGCGAAUACCGGAGAAUGUUAUCACGGGAGACACACGGCGGGUGCUAACGUCCGUCGUGAAGAGGGAAACAACCCAGACCGCCAGCUAAGGUCCCAAAGUCAUGGUUAAGUGGGAAACGAUGUGGGAAGGCCCAGACAGCCAGGAUGUUGGCUUAGAAGCAGCCAUCAUUUAAAGAAAGCGUAAUAGCUCACUGGUCGAGUCGGCCUGCGCGGAAGAUGUAACGGGGCUAAACCAUGCACCGAAGCUGCGGCAGCGACGCUUAUGCGUUGUUGGGUAGGGGAGCGUUCUGUAAGCCUGUGAAGGUGUGCUGUGAGGCAUGCUGGAGGUAUCAGAAGUGCGAAUGCUGACAUAAGUAACGAUAAAGCGGGUGAAAAGCCCGCUCGCCGGAAGACCAAGGGUUCCUGUCCAACGUUAAUCGGGGCAGGGUGAGUCGACCCCUAAGGCGAGGCCGAAAGGCGUAGUCGAUGGGAAACAGGUUAAUAUUCCUGUACUUGGUGUUACUGCGAAGGGGGGACGGAGAAGGCUAUGUUGGCCGGGCGACGGUUGUCCCGGUUUAAGCGUGUAGGCUGGUUUUCCAGGCAAAUCCGGAAAAUCAAGGCUGAGGCGUGAUGACGAGGCACUACGGUGCUGAAGCAACAAAUGCCCUGCUUCCAGGAAAAGCCUCUAAGCAUCAGGUAACAUCAAAUCGUACCCCAAACCGACACAGGUGGUCAGGUAGAGAAUACCAAGGCGCUUGAGAGAACUCGGGUGAAGGAACUAGGCAAAAUGGUGCCGUAACUUCGGGAGAAGGCACGCUGAUAUGUAGGUGAAGCGACUUGCUCGUGGAGCUGAAAUCAGUCGAAGAUACCAGCUGGCUGCAACUGUUUAUUAAAAACACAGCACUGUGCAAACACGAAAGUGGACGUAUACGGUGUGACGCCUGCCCGGUGCCGGAAGGUUAAUUGAUGGGGUCAGCGCAAGCGAAGCUCUUGAUCGAAGCCCCGGUAAACGGCGGCCGUAACUAUAACGGUCCUAAGGUAGCGAAAUUCCUUGUCGGGUAAGUUCCGACCUGCACGAAUGGCGUAAUGAUGGCCAGGCUGUCUCCACCCGAGACUCAGUGAAAUUGAACUCGCUGUGAAGAUGCAGUGUACCCGCGGCAAGACGGAAAGACCCCGUGAACCUUUACUAUAGCUUGACACUGAACAUUGAGCCUUGAUGUGUAGGAUAGGUGGGAGGCUUAGAAGUGUGGACGCCAGUCUGCAUGGAGCCGACCUUGAAAUACCACCCUUUAAUGUUUGAUGUUCUAACGUUGACCCGUAAUCCGGGUUGCGGACAGUGUCUGGUGGGUAGUUUGACUGGGGCGGUCUCCUCCUAAAGAGUAACGGAGGAGCACGAAGGUUGGCUAAUCCUGGUCGGACAUCAGGAGGUUAGUGCAAUGGCAUAAGCCAGCUUGACUGCGAGCGUGACGGCGCGAGCAGGUGCGAAAGCAGGUCAUAGUGAUCCGGUGGUUCUGAAUGGAAGGGCCAUCGCUCAACGGAUAAAAGGUACUCCGGGGAUAACAGGCUGAUACCGCCCAAGAGUUCAUAUCGACGGCGGUGUUUGGCACCUCGAUGUCGGCUCAUCACAUCCUGGGGCUGAAGUAGGUCCCAAGGGUAUGGCUGUUCGCCAUUUAAAGUGGUACGCGAGCUGGGUUUAGAACGUCGUGAGACAGUUCGGUCCCUAUCUGCCGUGGGCGCUGGAGAACUGAGGGGGGCUGCUCCUAGUACGAGAGGACCGGAGUGGACGCAUCACUGGUGUUCGGGUUGUCAUGCCAAUGGCACUGCCCGGUAGCUAAAUGCGGAAGAGAUAAGUGCUGAAAGCAUCUAAGCACGAAACUUACCCCGAGAUGAGUUCUCCCUGACUCCUUGAGAGUCCUGAAGGAACGUUGAAGACGACGACGUUGAUAGGCCGGGUGUGUAAGCGCAGCGAUGCGUUGAGCUAACCGGUACUAAUGAACCGUGAGGCUUAACCUUACAACGCCGAAGGUGUUU